GCCAGCAGCCAUAUCACCCUGCAGCCCAAGACUGGUUGCCUACUGAAGCUAAGCAGGCUUGAGCCUGGUCAGUACCUGGAUGGGAGACCUCCUGGGAAAACUAGGUUGCUGUUGGAA
This 117-nucleotide ribosomal RNA is filed under the name Sinocyclocheilus anshuiensis. The record is from RNAcentral. Lineage: Eukaryota; Metazoa; Chordata; Actinopteri; Cypriniformes; Cyprinidae.